ACUCCUACGGGAGGCAGCAGUGGGGAAUAUUGCACAAUGGGCGCAAGCCUGAUGCAGCCAUGCCGCGUGUAUGAAGAAGGCCUUCGGGUUGUAAAGUACUUUCAGCAGUGAGGAAGGCGGGUACGUUAAUAGCGUGCUUGUUUGACGUUAGCUGCAGAAGAAGCACCGGCUAACUCCGUGCCAGCAGCCGCGGUAAUACGGAGGGUGCGAGCGUUAAUCGGAAUUACUGGGCGUAAAGCGCAUGCAGGUGGUUUGUAAGUCAGAUGUGAAAGCCCGGGGCUCAACCUCGGAAUUGCAUUUGAAACUGGCAGACUAGAGUACUGUAGAGGGGGGUAGAAUUUCAGGUGUAGCGGUGAAAUGCGUAGAGAUCUGAAGGAAUACCGGUGGCGAAGGCGGCCCCCUGGACAGAUACUGACACUCAGAUGCGAAAGCGUGGGGAGCAAACAGGAUUAGAUACCCU
RNAcentral lists this ribosomal RNA (460 nucleotides) under uncultured bacterium. RNAcentral's name for it is "bacterial SSU rRNA". It matches the Rfam family "Bacterial small subunit ribosomal RNA", at positions 335 to 788 of the family's 1533-position model. The record is from RNAcentral.